RNAcentral lists this ribosomal RNA (545 nucleotides) under uncultured bacterium. RNAcentral's name for it is "bacterial SSU rRNA". It matches the Rfam family "Bacterial small subunit ribosomal RNA", at positions 777 to 1320 of the family's 1533-position model. The record is from RNAcentral.
AAUAGAUACCCGGGUAGUCCACCCCGUAAACGUUGGGAACUAGUUGUGGGGUCCUUUCCACGGAUUCCGUGACGCAGCUAACGCAUUAAGUUCCCCGCCUGGGGAGUACGGCCGCAAGGCUAAAACUCAAAGGAAUUGACGGGGACCCGCACAAGCGGCGGAGCAUGCGGAUUAAUUCGAUGCAACGCGAAGAACCUUACCAAGGCUUGACAUACACCAGAACACCCUAGAAAUAGGGGACUCUUUGGGCACUGGUGAACAGGUGGUGCAUGGUUGUCGUCAGCUCGUGUCGUGAGAUGUUGGGUUAAGUCCCGCAACGAGCGCAACCCUCGUUCUAUGUUGCCAGCACGUAAUGGUGGGAACUCAUGGGAUACUGCCGGGGUCAACUCGGAGGAAGGUGGGGAUGACGUCAAAUCAUCAUGCCCCUUAUGUCUUGGGCUUCACGCAUGCUACAAUGGCCGGUACAAAGGGCUGCAAUACCGUGAGGUGGAGCGAAUCCCAAAAAGCCGGUCCCAGUUCGGAUUGAGGUCUGCAACUCGACCUCA